Molecule: small RNA, 1377 nt
Filed under: Pan troglodytes (chimpanzee)
Lineage: Eukaryota; Metazoa; Chordata; Mammalia; Primates; Hominidae
Description: retained intron
Source: RNAcentral
UUCUUACUCUCUUAGUGAAUUGAGAAUGUUGCUUAUAAACCAUGUUUAGAACUGACAAGAUCAUGCUAGUUCAUUUGCUGAGCAACCAAGAUGUCAAGAGUUGGCACUUUUUUGGCUUCCAUUCACUUUGUUCCUGGGCUCACUUUAGAGGACCAUGGAGUGAUGGGGAGAGCGCAGCUUUGGAGUCAGCCAGGCCUGCUCCUCUUCUCAUCCUGCUCCCUGUCCGCAUGGCCAUGGGCCGGCUACUUCUCUGAGCCUAAGUUUCCACAUCUGCAAGAUGAGAAUGAAGAUACCUACCUCAUAGAACUACUGUAAAGCUUCAAAACAAAGUGUGUAGAGCAGCUAACACAGAGCACACAGGGCCAUCUUGGUCAAUAAAUGGUAGUAGACCUUAUCAUUAUCCAUAGUCAAAUUCAUAUCACAAUUCAAAUUGUGAUUUUGUAGGCAAGGAAGUUUUAACAUACGUUGUAAGUAGGAGCUGUGUUUUCAGAUGCACGAUGGCGUUCCUCCACAGGGGAGAUGAGACGUCAGCUUUCUCCCCCUGUGUUUCUUUAGGUGGCUCCAGGAUGUAUUUAACGUGCCCUUGGUCAUCCAGAUGACGGAUGACGAGAAGUAUCUGUGGAAGGACCUGACCCUGGACCAGGCCUAUAGCUAUGCUGUGGAGAAUGCCAAGGACAUCAUCGCCUGUGGCUUUGACAUCAACAAGACUUUCAUAUUCUCUGACCUGGACUACAUGGGGAUGAGCUCAGGUUUCUACAAAAAUGUGGUGAAGAUUCAAAAGCAUGUUACCUUCAACCAAGUGAAAGGCAUUUUCGGCUUCACUGACAGCGACUGCAUUGGGAAGAUCAGUUUUCCUGCCAUCCAGGCUGCUCCCUCCUUCAGCAACUCAUUCCCACAGAUCUUCCGAGACAGGACGGAUAUCCAGUGCCUUAUCCCAUGUGCCAUUGACCAGGAUCCUUACUUUAGAAUGACAAGGGACGUUGCCCCCAGGAUCGGCUAUCCUAAACCAGCCCUGCUGCACUCCACCUUCUUCCCCGCCCUGCAGGGCGCCCAGACCAAAAUGAGUGCCAGCGACCCCAACUCCUCCAUCUUCCUCACUGACACGGCCAAGCAGAUCAAAACCAAGGUCAAUAAGCAUGCGUUUUCUGGAGGGAGAGACACCAUCGAGGAGCACAGGCAGUUUGGGGGCAACUGUGAUGUGGACGUGUCUUUCAUGUACCUGACCUUCUUCCUCGAGGACGACGACAAGCUCGAGCAGAUCAGGAAGGAUUACACCAGCGGAGCCAUGCUCACCGGUGAGCUCAAGAAGGCACUCAUAGAGGUUCUGCAGCCCUUGAUCGCAGAGCACCAGGCCCGGCGCAAGGAGGUCACGGAUGA